This 460-nucleotide ribosomal RNA is filed under the name uncultured bacterium. RNAcentral's name for it is "partial 16S ribosomal RNA". It matches the Rfam family "Bacterial small subunit ribosomal RNA", at positions 338 to 795 of the family's 1533-position model. The record is from RNAcentral.
CCUACGGGAGGCAGCAGUGAGGAAUAUUGGUCAAUGGACGAGAGUCUGAACCAGCCAAGUAGCGUGAAGGAUGACUGCCCUAUGGGUUGUAAACUUCUUUUAUAUGGGAAUAAAACGUUCCACGUGUGGGAUUUUGUAUGUACCAUAUGAAUAAGGAUCGGCUAACUCCGUGCCAGCAGCCGCGGUAAUACGGAGGAUCCGAGCGUUAUCCGGAUUUAUUGGGUUUAAAGGGAGCGUAGGUGGAUUGUUAAGUCAGUUGUGAAAGUUUGCGGCUCAACCGUAAAAUUGCAGUUGAAACUGGCAGUCUUGAGGACAGUAUAGGUGGGCGGAAUUCGUGGUGUAGCGGUGAAAUGCUGAGAUAUCACGAAGAACUCCGAUUGCGAAGGCAGUUCACUGGACUGCAACUGACACUGAGGCUCGAAAGUGUGGGUAUCAAACAGGAUUAGAUACCCCAGUAGUC